UACGUAGGCAGCAAGCGUUGUUCGGAGUUACUGGGCGUAAAGGGUGCGUAGGCGGCCCUGUAAGUAUGGUGUGAAAUCUCCCGGCUUAACUGGGAGGGUGCGCUAUAGACUGCGGGGCUCGAGUGUGGGAGAGGAAAGUGGAAUUCCUGGUGUAGCGGUGAAAUGCGUAGAUAUCAGGAGGAACACCGGUGGUGUAGACGGCUUUCUGGACCGUAACUGACGCUGAGACACGAAAGCGUGGGUAGCAAACAGG
Molecule: ribosomal RNA, 253 nt
Filed under: uncultured bacterium
Lineage: Bacteria
Description: partial 16S ribosomal RNA
Rfam family: Bacterial small subunit ribosomal RNA
Source: RNAcentral